UGGGGAAUUUUGGACGAAUUGGGCGAAAGCCUGAUCCAGCAAUGCCGCGUGUGUGAAGAAGGCCUUCGGGUUGUAAAGCACUUUUGUCCGGAAAGAAAUCCUUGGCUCUAAUACAGUCGGGGGAUGACGGUACCGGAAGAAUAAGCACCGGCUAACUACGUGCCAGCAGCCGCGGUAAUACGUAGGGUGCAAGCGUUAAUCGGAAUUACUGGGCGUAAAGCGUGCGCAGGCGGUUUGCUAAGACCGAUGUGAAAUCCCCGGGCUCAACCUGGGAACUGCAUUGGUGACUGGCAGGGCUAGAGUAUGGCAGAGGGGGGUAGAAUUCCACGUGUAGCAGUGAAAUGCGUAGAGAUGUGGAGGAAUACCGAUGGCGAAGGCAGCCCCCUGGGCCAAUACUGACGCUCAUGCACGAAAGCGUGGGGAGCAAAGC
Molecule: ribosomal RNA, 430 nt
Filed under: uncultured bacterium
Lineage: Bacteria
Description: partial 16S ribosomal RNA
Rfam family: Bacterial small subunit ribosomal RNA
Source: RNAcentral